RNAcentral lists this ribosomal RNA (441 nucleotides) under uncultured bacterium. Its description in RNAcentral is "partial 16S ribosomal RNA". It matches the Rfam family "Bacterial small subunit ribosomal RNA", at positions 338 to 795 of the family's 1533-position model. The record is from RNAcentral.
CCUACGGGCGGCUGCAGUGGGGGAUAUUGCACAAUGGGGGAAACCCUGAUGCAGCGACGCCGCGUGGGUGAAGAAGUAUUUCGGUAUGUAAAGCCCUAUCAGCAGGGAAGAAAGAAGACGGUACCUGACUAAGAAGCCCCGGCUAACUACGUGCCAGCAGCCGCGGUAAUACGUAGGGGGCGAGCGUUAUCCGGAUUCACUGGGUGUAAAGGGAGCGUAGACGGCCGUGCAAGCCAGGAGUGAAAGCCCGGGGCCCAACCCCGGGACUGCUCUUGGAACUGUGCGGCUGGAGUGCGGGAGGGGCAGGCGGAAUUCCUGGUGUAGCGGUGAAAUGCGUAGAUAUUAGGAGGAACACCAGUGGCGAAGGCGGGUUGCUAGACUGUAACUGACACUGAGGCACGAAAGCGUGGGGAGCAAACAGGAUUAGAUACCCCAGUAGUC